AAACUCUGCCUCCAAAGUAAGUGUCGUGCCUUGUGGAUUUGCGGGGGUAUUCAACUGCCUUGGGCUGUGGGUUUGCGGCUCGUGCGUCGUGCGCUGGCUUUGUGGUUCUGUGAGCAGGAGCGAUCGGGACCCGGAGACUUGCGGAGACCCCCGGGAGAGACCAAGAGGCGGAGCGAGCCGGGACAAGUACGGCCACGUAGGUCCCGCGAGUGACCUGAGACUGGCGAGGAUGGUGUGCGUACCCAAUACUCCUCUGUGGAAUUACAGCAGGGGCAGGGGAAACCCUGCCUUGUGUUGCCCUGCGAGAGUAACUGCUGCUUGGAUUCCGAGACGGACCACUAGCCCAAGCUCUGAGGGUGUAUGCACGACGCAAUCCAGACCAAGACUUCACUCCGCACAGAAGCUCUCCUAUUGGACUCUGAAUACAGCUCAACGCCAUCUGAGGUAACCUGCUCGGCAGUCAAUAAACAAUUUGCUUCCCCGAGAACCCAAGAAAAUUGGAAAGAGCAGUUGAAGCGGGAGAUCAUGGAGGACGUUAAGGGAUACAUGAAGGGACUCGCUCAGGAGAUUAUUGCCGAGCUAAAACCAGUCAUACAGCCUCCUCCAGCUCGUCCGAACACACCGAUCCCGUCGGAGAUCUUCCAGCAGCGGCGUGUAGCCUACAAUGAACGCGACGUGCAAGGGGAGGAUUGAGAAGAGGAGGACACUCCGUUCAUCCUGAAAAGGCCAAAACGUGGAGAGGUCAACCAUGUUCCGGAUUAUCCACAACACCAUGACGAUUUUACUCUUGAAGAGGAAAGCGUUGCUCUGGUCGAUGGGGAAAAAAAAAAAAAAAAAAGGACACAACAUUGAUACGGCACAAGAUGGAGCUGACAUUUUCCCUUCGGCGGAGAGAGGUAGUAGAGGGGCAGCCUAUGAUAUCCGAAGUCCAGCAGAGAUGGCCUGCACUGUUUUCCUGUGAAGAGAUAUCUUUAGAAUUUCAUCGCAUCACCAGCAAAGACCUCCUGAAGACUUUCAAUGAGUCCCUUGAGAAUUAUGCGCAUCGCCUGCUCAGUCUGUACCGGGCUUGAAAGGGAGCUUUUGGUCAGCAAAUAGAAGACUUCCUGGAGAAGCUUGAUGAACAGACAUCAGACAUUGUGUCUCACCGAAAGAUGACAGCACUGAGAUGCUUUUUGUCCGGGACGACACAACUAAGUUUUCCUGCAGCAUUUUGAAACUGACUUGAAGAAAGAGGGCUCAGAGGCGUGUCUGUUGGCAUCCUUAACAUCCUUGAAGAAGAUGAUCCUGCUGUAUCACUCAACCCUGUUCAGAGACUGCUGCGACAUUGGAGGAAGCUGGAGGUGAGGGAUGGAGUGCUGUACCAUGUGGUUACCGAUCAAGACACACUGGAGGAGUACCCUCAGAUCGUGUGCCCAAGUACGAGGCGUGAGGAGGUCUGGAGGAGUAUCCAUGAGUCUGGAGCCCACUUUGGACCUGACAAGACCCUGGGCCGGAUCUGGCAGCAGUUCUACUGGCCUAGUAUGGAGGGGGAGGUACGGCAGUUCCAUCAGCACUGUCUUGCAUGUAGCCUACAGAAGAGUCGGGUUGAACCCAGGGCUGCCCUCCACCCAAUUUCCGCAACAUUUCCGUUGGAGGUAAUUGGGCUAGAUGUUUUAACUUUAGGUCGCCCCACUGACCCUUUGCAAAACAUUUUAGUAGCAACUGAUUUGUUUACGCAGUUUGCCUGGGCAAUACCUACACACGACCAGACUGCACAAACAACUGUAAAAAUGGUAUGGAAAUUCAUAAUACAGCAGUUUGGCUGUCCCGCGCGCUUCUAUUCGGAUCGCGGCCCUAACUUUGAGAGUGCAUUGAUGCAGCAACUUUGCGAUAUGUACGGUAUAGCAAAAAGUCGCACGACACCCUACUAUCCAGCCGGCAACGGUAGGGUAGAGCGCUUUAACCAAACAUGCUCCGAACAUUAGAGGCAGAAAAACAAAACCGCUGGCCAAAGUACUUGCCUGAACUAGUCCAUGCUUACAAUAAUACUACACAUAGUGCUACGGGCUAUGCCCCAUCCUUCCUCGUGUUUGGUAGGCACUUGCGGCUCCCGGUUGACGUGGGGUUAGGUAUAAACCCGCGACAGGCGCGGUUUGAUGUUCAGGGGUGGGUUGGGGACCACCAGAACCGACUCACUUUGGCAUACAGCCUUGCUAGAGCAAAAUCAACAAACGCAGCCUCCCAACAAAAGUGGCAAUUUGAUAAGAGGGCUCAUGCUUUGCCUUUGACCCCUGGUGAGCGAGUGUUGGUCAGAAACAGGCGAUGGCAGGGAAAAGGCAAACUGGACACAUGGUGAGACCCUGAACCCCACAUUAUCUUGGACAUUGUGGGAGAGACGGGGGUGGUUUAGCGGGUGCGCCCUGAGAAGGGUGGUCGGGAACAUACUAUCCACCGGAACGCUUUGAAAGUAUGUACCGGGCCCCCUGUUGAUCCUUCACUACCUCUGGGGGAACCACCCCCACAGACUCAAAACCGCAAACUGGCUGUGUUUUAUGGGCUUCUGCCGCACCCAGAGGCUCGACUGGAGGCACCGGGUUCUGUGGAGCAACCCAGGCGCUCCACUUGCACAACCCGGCGACAGUUGCCUGCCCGCUAUGCAGACUAGAGUUCCCCCCGUUGCAGGGACUGACAACGAUAAUGUAUGGGGGGAUGUGAUGGGACACAAGUAGGGGAUUUUAUUUUUUUUAUGUUUCAUUGCCAUGCAUGUCUUUGAGUGUUUUUAUUGCUGUGGAAUUUGAUUGUAUUUUUAAUUGCAUUUUUUACACGUUGCAGACUUUGAUUGUAUUUUUAAUUGCAUGUUUUUAUUCCUUGUGGACUUUGCUGGCGUUUUAAGACGAGGCGUGUUUUAGCUUGUUGCCCCUGACAACCAAAGUGCCCAAUCGAAUGGCACCUGAAAUCAGACGCACCUGUGGAGCAUUAGGGCUGCACACAUUUAAAAAGGAGCGACCAGGAGGAUCGAAAGGCUUGACAAGGAGGACCGGGUGAACGCGCGCAGGUUGGGAAGGAAUCCCCAGGGCUACCCAGCAGAGCCGCAGGCUACCGGAGCGAACCCCCAGAAGCCCACAACACGGAGGGGCAGAGGAAACUCUGCCUCCAAAGUAAAGAGCGAUCGGGACACGGUGAGCUGCGGUGACCCCUGGAGAGACCAAGAGGCGGAGCGACCCGGGACAAGUACGGCCACGUAGGUCCCGCGAGUGAUCGGAGACUGGCGAGGAGGGUGGGCGUACCCAAUAUUCCUCUGCGGAAUUACAGCAGGGGCAGGGUUUCCCCUGCCUUGUGUGUAAGUGUGACGUCAGCCCUGAGAGCGUCUCCGUGUUUUUAAAUUAUUUUAUCCCCGUGGCCUGCCUCCGAUUUUAAUUUCUGUGCAGGAGGACGCCGUGGAAGUGAGCGGAGCCAGGACACUGACCACGCCUGUCGUGGCUGUACCCUCACCAUAUUAUUGUUUACCAAUUGGUAUUUUUAGUGUUAUUAA
This is a non-coding RNA of Nerophis lumbriciformis (worm pipefish), 3511 nucleotides long. The record is from RefSeq and is a predicted model, not a curated record. NCBI's taxonomy places the organism in Eukaryota, Metazoa, Chordata, Actinopteri, Syngnathiformes, Syngnathidae.